RNAcentral lists this ribosomal RNA (120 nucleotides) under Ectothiorhodospira shaposhnikovii. Lineage: Bacteria; Pseudomonadati; Pseudomonadota; Gammaproteobacteria; Chromatiales; Ectothiorhodospiraceae. The record is from RNAcentral.
UACCUGGCGGCCAUGGCGAACCGGAACCACCCGAUCCCAUCUCGAACUCGGAAGUGAAACGGUUCAGCGCCGAUGAUAGUGUGGGGCCUCCCCAUGUGAAAGUAGGUCACUGCCAGGCAC